AUUGAACGCUGGCGGCAGGCCUAACACAUGCAAGUCGAGCGGAUGAAGGGAGCUUGCUCCUGGAUUCAGCGGCGGACGGGUGAGUAAUGCCUAGGAAUCUGCCUGGCAGUGGGGGAUAACGUCCGGAAACGGGCGCUAAUACCGCAUCCGUCCUGAGGGAGAAAGUGGGGGAUCUUCGGACCUCACGCUAUCAGAUGAGCCUAGGUCGGAUUAGCUAGUUGGUGGGGUAAAGGCCUACCAAGGCGACGAUCCGUAACUGGUCUGAGAGGAUGAUCAGUCACACUGGAACUGAGACACGGUCCAGACUCCUACGGGAGGCAGCAGUGGGGAAUAUUGGACAAUGGGCGAAAGCCUGAUCCAGCCAUGCCGCGUGUGUGAAGAAGGUCUUCGGAUUGUAAAGCACUUUAAGUUGGGAGGAAGAGCAGUAAGUUAAUACCUUGCUGUUUUGACGUUACCAACAGAAUAAGCACCGGCUAACUUCGUG
RNAcentral lists this ribosomal RNA (484 nucleotides) under uncultured bacterium. RNAcentral describes it as "partial 16S ribosomal RNA". It matches the Rfam family "Bacterial small subunit ribosomal RNA", at positions 30 to 507 of the family's 1533-position model. The record is from RNAcentral.